ACUCGCGAAGUCAUUCAGUUUCGUACGGGACUUCUGAGCGGACGCACGUGUUUUCUGUGGAGUACAACGACGCGCCUGCGGUUCUAGAUUGCAGUACAGAGUGGAAGAGAGCGGUUUUGGACUAGAGUCCUUUGGAAGUUGUGUUAUUUUGUGCAAGUGGUUUAAUGCAGGAUUUUGAACUUCGCGCGCGCUGUUUUCUUGGGGUUCAAUUUUGUUAGAAAAAGAAAACAAUUUUACCUACGUACCGCGUAAUUCGGUGGAAACUGCAGAAUUACAUAAAAUUGUGAUUGAGUUGCCGGUGGUUCAACGAAAUUGGCGAAACGAGUGAGUUUUCCAGCGAAGGAAGAAGAGCUAAAAGUAUAAUUACCGUGAAGCCGGGCGGGAAGGUUCACCAGCCACCGGAAAAGAGCAACUUAACGAAUAUAUGUUCUGAGUUUUUUUUUUCAUCGAUUACCGAUAUUAUUUUUUGCAUAACUUCACGUGUACACGAGUGUGAGUGUGUUUGAAAAGUAGGGAAAAUUUCAUUGAAAUAUUGAGGCAACUCAAGCUGCUGGCGAAAAAAAAGUGUAUUUGAAAGUGAUUUUGCAGUGAGGAUUGACCUGGAUAGUCGAGUCGGCAAGCUGUACGGCAAGAAGUGUUCCGGGAAAUCAAAUAUUUUGCUAUACUUAAGCAACACGAGCCUACGAGAGCCAGCUGGAAGCAGAAUAAUAUCUAAACCGAAGAUUUUCGGAUUUGUCUGUGGCUUACUGAAGAUUGAGUGAAGUAACCUGAACUGUGAACAACCUGACCGACUGAGCUUCGAUCUCCCAGUGAUUUAGUGCUUAGUGUAGAGAGAUCACUUCACACCCUUAAAGGGGCAAGUGCACGAAGAAUCAGUGUUGGAUCGAUUAGAUCGAUACGUUACAUAAAGAGGUGAAGACGACUCCGCGGCCAAGUGUUUAGUGCGACGAUUUACGACUCCGAGUUCGCGGGCCAAGUCCUCUCGAAAUCAAAAAGAGUGGAAAAUUUAACGUGAUUGA
Molecule: long non-coding RNA, 1019 nt
Organism: Culex quinquefasciatus (southern house mosquito)
Lineage: Eukaryota; Metazoa; Arthropoda; Insecta; Diptera; Culicidae
Exons: 4
Source: RefSeq, a predicted model, not a curated record